GGGGAUGUAACUCAAUUGGUAGAGUGUUUGUCUCACAUGCAUAAGGCCCUGGGUUCAAUCCCCAGUAGCACCA
Molecule: transfer RNA, 73 nt
Filed under: Marmota marmota marmota (Alpine marmot)
Lineage: Eukaryota; Metazoa; Chordata; Mammalia; Rodentia; Sciuridae
Also listed under: 1 other name
Rfam family: tRNA
About the family: Transfer RNA (tRNA) molecules are approximately 80 nucleotides in length. Their secondary structure includes four short double-helical elements and three loops (D, anti-codon, and T loops). Further hydrogen bonds mediate the characteristic L-shaped molecular structure. tRNAs have two regions of fundamental functional importance: the anti-codon, which is responsible for specific mRNA codon recognition, and the 3' end, to which the tRNAs corresponding amino acid is attached (by aminoacyl-tRNA synthetases). tRNAs cope with the degeneracy of the genetic code in two manners: having more than one tRNA (with a specific anti-codon) for a particular amino acid; and 'wobble' base-pairing, i.e. permitting non-standard base-pairing at the 3rd anti-codon position.
Source: Rfam by way of RNAcentral